Molecule: long non-coding RNA, 641 nt
Filed under: Homo sapiens (human)
Lineage: Eukaryota; Metazoa; Chordata; Mammalia; Primates; Hominidae
Description: HSALNT0254414
Source: RNAcentral
CUCGCAUCAAUGCAAUCGGACUGGCUGUGGCCCCCAGGGACUGGCGUCUUUCCCCCAGCGUCAAGGUGGGGGCACAAACAGGCAAUGGGGAGCCAUGGGAGGAUAUGGAGCAAGAGCAUGGCGAGAUCUGGGUUGCAGUUGGAAGGCGCGUCCAGCUCUGCGUGGUCCGACCCCAGGUCGCCCUGCCUCACCCAAACCUGGAAAGUCUUGACUCUCGGCUGCACCUCCAUCUCCAGAGAGCAGGGCACUAUUAUCUCCCUCUCCACCCGGUUACCCACACGCAGAGCUGUGGCCAAUGAUGGAGCAUGGGGAGGCUGAACUGGACACCAGGUGCUGAAUCAAUGGCCCCUUGUCCACUCCAGAGCCAGGACAAGAACUCACGGGUCCUCACCUGAAUCGGCCACUGACUGCCUUGGGCAGAGACAUCGAAGUCUCUGAGCCUCAGUUUCCUCUUCUGCAAAAGGGAACUGCAGGGUUCCCAGUCACUUCCCUGGGCUGAGCGAGUGAGAAGUCAGGCAAGGAGGUUCCUUCCGGGGAAGUCUCCAUUGGGUGCCGGCUGGGGUCAGGAGCCCAGAGUCCUAGGCCCUGGUUUGCUCCUGGCCAUGUGUUCACCUCAUUCAUUCAUUCAACAAACAUUCAUU